UUCUUUUUUUUUUUUUUUUUGGUCCCCCUUCUGUGGAGGCUGGAGAGCAGUCACAUUCUCAUUGUCGAAGAAGCUGAAGUUGGAAAGCUCCAGCUCCUGAUGGCGGUUGCGGAUCAGGGAAUAUUUAACGGUUGGAAGCAUGAGGGACGCGUGUGCACUUUUCCAACCUCGUCGUCCGCCAAUUCUUUGGAUAAGGUAAAUAGGGCUAACAGUGGACAUUGAGACAGGACUUAAUCCACUUUCCUGGCAACUCGAAAUCUUCGCGUCCAGGCCCACCAUUAUCCAACAUAGAACUAUUACAGUGUUACCUUUUUUUUACUUUUAAUUUUCUAAAGGGAAAGGUUUGUUUUUAAUUUCAAAUUCCUCCGCAUAGAACUUUAUGAAAAAGAGAGGAAAAAAAAGAAAGAAAGAAAGAUUAUUACCAAUAGAAGUAGGCCGCCAUGAAGGACAGUGUUGAUAUAUUGCUUGUUUUCAGAACUGCUUUGUUUUAGGCCUUGGAGGUUGGAAUCAAUACAUACUAUUUCCAUCAACAUUCAACUAGUAGUCCCAGGAGCCAAGGACUAUUAACAAUUGAUUUAGAUGAAAGCAUAGGAAGCAACGACCCCAGAGGCCAAGACCGUUUAUGCAUGGAGCACAGUAGGACAUUUCAGAGAUGGACUACACUCUCAACCACGUUAUAUGCUAGCUAUGUGGCCAACUAGAAAAGAUGCAAGGCAUGUAGGUGCACCCUCCCAUGGAUAUAUUGGCUCAGGGGAAUAACCAUUUACUGCUAUAAUUUCAUUUACACAUUUGACAACCAUAUAAUACAGAGAUUUCGUGAAAACUACUAACAGAGAUUUGGUACUAGUAUUAUUAUAUUAGUAACAAUACCUAUUUUAGUCCAUGAUUUGUUGCUCAAGGUUCCGUGUUCAAGGGCAUGUACUUCCACCCUCAGAAAUUUCAUCUUCACUGCUCUUGUACCCUCCCCAAACGUUGAUUAGAGCUCAAAUCAGCUCCUGCUGUUAUAGUCUUGCCACUGUCUAUUGAGUUAGUCUUAGCUAGAGCCUUUCUACGCUUGUAUGUCAAAGGCAGAACGGAUUCAUCUUUAAACCCCUCAGAAAUACUGGAUUUACUUAAUAACUUGUCUGAUUUUUUUGCACCGAAGUCAGUCUCACUUCUCAUUGGAUUUGAAGAAGAUGCCAUUAACACUUCCUGCUUAACAUUACAAAUGGCUGAAGUUCUGGGAACUGCUUCUAGAAUUCUUGGAUAUACAGUGAUAUGCUCGUCUUUCAUGAGUGCUAUUCGCUGUUGCCUGCGGUGAUAUUGAAUACCAAAUGGGUAUGAUUCCAAGGAUCUCAGGGAAAAGUCUUCAGUUCCUUUGUGCAAAUUUGGCCCCAAACUUUCAACACCAAAGGGAUGCUUCCUUGCACCCAUUGGAUACAUUGGUGGAAAUUCCUCAUUAGGGUCUCUUCUGAUAUCACCUGCCAACAAAGUGUGUUUUCCUAAAACCGAAAUGUCAUCUGAAGAAGGAAUUAUUUGCCUCUCUAUUUUUCUGGUAGGCUCUGAGUGAUGACAGGUUCUCAUAGUACAAUCUUGCUGAUUCAGUAAACAAUGAGGUUGGUUUAGAGUUGAAUGAAGCCUUCCACCAUCAACCUUCUGCCUUAAAAAUGGUGAUUCAUGAAGGCCACCUGCAUCUGGUAAGUGUACAUAUGCUGGCAGGGAAGAAAACUUAAAAUCCAGUAAACCUUGGUCCCUGACAAGAAAUGUUGAUUGUGCUCCCCUUUGCACCACUUCUGAUUGUUCCAGCUGGACAGAAGUAACUUUAGGUACUAUUUUCAACAAUCCCUUGGGUACAGAUCGACACUGCUCUGAUACAUCACUGCCAAUUAUUUUUGGAUUGUGAUUUGGUAAUAAGCCAUUCCCAGAUACCUUUAUCUUUAAAAAACCUUUUGCUCUGCAGUUUGAAGCAAAUUUCAUUUCACUGGCAGAGAGAGAAGGCAAAACAUCUUUUUCUGUGGUUUGUUCCACUGGCUUCAGUCCCUUCAUGUGCAAGCUAACCUCCUCACUUAACAGUUGAUCAUCCUUGGGAAAUUUGUUAAGAUCAAGCAAAUUUAUGGCCCUCUGUUUUCUCUUAUUUUUCCACAUCAAAAUCCUUUCCUCAACACCAGGGCUCAUUUCAUACUGAUCCCACAUCCUUCUCAUGUCUGUGAACAUUUGUGUCAUCCUGUCAUGGUAAGAUCUUAAUGAAUGAUAAUACUUUUUCCUCUGUAUAAACUGCAAACAUUCUCUGAGAUGAGCCACUUUCGGAGGAUAGAAUCCACCUCUCAAUCUUUUGAAGAACACAUCCAAUGGAUUCCCAAAAUAUAGAUCACUGCCAUCAAAAAGCUCCUUCAUAGUCAAACAAAAAGUCUGCUGGUCCAUAUCUGGAAGGUAAGCUGAGAGAUAGAACCUUUCUUCCUCUGUUAAAGAAGAAUUCCAAGUGUCUAAAGAUAAUAUUUCCCUCAAAUCUGGCAGAUCAAAGAGUUCAUAGGGUAUGCUGCACAGCUGACCUUCUACCAAGCCAAGCUCACAGCACAACUCAGUGAGCUCAAAAUCAUCAGAAUCAUCACCUGAGUCUGCCCCAAAGACAGGGUUAUCUUCUGCUUUGGAUAAGGAAAAAGUUUUACUAUGUUUGGAACUCUGAUGGCCAAUCUUUUGAAUUCUCAUUGAUGCAGAAGGUCUUCUGAGCUCAAGGAUCUAUUAUAAGGAGAAGUGAGAUCUCCAAUGUGAAAACUUUAAAGCCACAAUUAAGAUCCCUGAAGAGGACAUGAACAUUUUAACCAUCAAAUCAGUUUUAUACAAUAAAUUCUUUAAUAUGUUAAACCAUUGGAUAUGUGUUGGAGAAUAAUCCUAAAAUUCCAUAGGAAAAUAUGUACACCAUCUUGUGAAUCAUGAGAACAUCCAUAGUUCAUGAACUACCCGAGGCUUCAAAUAGAUCACAAUAAAGAUACAACAGCAAUUGACUGCCUUCAAUUUCCCCAACUACCUUGGGUGAAAUCGGUGAGAAUGGAAACCCCAACAACGUACGAGCACCAUUUGAUUUUAGUUUAGCUUUACUUCUCAAGCCCACCUUAUUUCUGCCUUCCUUUUAUUUACCUUUUUCCCCUCUUCUUUUUUGUCUGUAUUUUCGCUUGUUAACCUUUCCACUGUGUGUCCAGUGAGCGUCAGGCAAUACCAUAGUCUGAAACAGCGAU
RNAcentral lists this unclassified non-coding RNA (3212 nucleotides) under Hevea brasiliensis (rubber tree). Lineage: Eukaryota; Viridiplantae; Streptophyta; Magnoliopsida; Malpighiales; Euphorbiaceae. The record is from RNAcentral.